This 109-nucleotide ribosomal RNA is filed under the name Dipodomys ordii (Ord's kangaroo rat). Lineage: Eukaryota; Metazoa; Chordata; Mammalia; Rodentia; Heteromyidae. The record is from RNAcentral.
GUCUAUGGCCAUACCACCCUGAACGCGCCAGAUCUCAUCUGAUGUCGGAAGCUAAGCAGGGUCGGGCCUGGUUAGUACUGGGGCUGGGAAGGUGGCUCAGUGGUAGAGC